Molecule: ribosomal RNA, 253 nt
Filed under: uncultured bacterium
Lineage: Bacteria
Description: partial 16S ribosomal RNA
Rfam family: Bacterial small subunit ribosomal RNA
Source: RNAcentral
UACGUAGGGGGCAAGCGUUGUCCGGAAUCACUGGGCGUAAAGAGCGCGUAGGCGGCUCAUGAAGGCUGUGGUGAAAGUCCGGGGCUCAACCUCGGAUCGGCCGUGGCGACUCGUGGGCUGGAGCACUGUAGAGGCGGGUGGAAUUCCGGGUGUAGCGGUGGAAUGCGUAGAGAUCCGGAAGAACACCAGUGGCGAAGGCGGCCCGCUGGGCAGUGGCUGACGCUGAGGCGCGACAGCGUGGGGAGCAAACAGG